Molecule: long non-coding RNA, 445 nt
Organism: Sorghum bicolor (sorghum)
Lineage: Eukaryota; Viridiplantae; Streptophyta; Magnoliopsida; Poales; Poaceae
Exons: 3
Source: RefSeq, a predicted model, not a curated record
GGUGUUUCUACACAUGUGGCCAAUUCAAUGACCAUGAGAAGUGCUUCUUCUUCCAGUGGAUCGACGGCCCCGACAAGUUUGACCCACGGUUCUUGCUUUUUGCGGGUAUUUGCCAUAGGAAGUUUCCACGUGAUCGCUUCAAACGUUGGGUGCCGCCACCACCAAACCCCCCACCAAUGACUUCUGAGGAGAAGGAAGUAGCUACGGCAAGACGCCUUGAUGACCCUCCUAAGUGCUUUUGUGGUGACAAAGCUAUGGUAGAGCAGACGCGAGGUCUUGAGUUUGUGUGUCCCAACAAGCAUCCAGAUUAUUCUAUGGAAAAGUGUCGUUUUAGAGAGUGGCUAUAUGGUCCGAAGUCUCAUUGGCCGGAGGAAAAGAAGAAAAAGAAUGACAGGAUUAUUACCGCAGCGCCUCCGGUUAAAUGCAAGUGUGGUGUUGAGGCUAG